Long non-coding RNA from Rhineura floridana, 1243 nucleotides. RefSeq lists it as uncharacterized. Lineage: Eukaryota; Metazoa; Chordata; Lepidosauria; Squamata; Rhineuridae. The record is from RefSeq and is a predicted model, not a curated record. The transcript is spliced from 3 exons.
UUCAGCUGACUGAAGAGCUGCUGGUUUACAAGGCUAUGUUCCAGUGAGCUUCACCUGCUGCAGCAUUCCCAACCGGAACAUACACACAGAGGGAUUGAGUAUCCCUCCGGCUAGUGCUUGUGUACUGUGUAUCAUUUAACUCAGCUGUUUGUCUCACUGAUCCAGAACACAAAUUGACUGCUCUAACCUGCCCUGGCACUUGCUAAUGAAGGCUGUGUAAUAAUAAUAAUAAUAAGAACAACAAGAAGAAGAACAAGAAGAACAAGAAGAAGAAGAAGAAGAAGAAGAGGUUAAAAUUAUACAAUGCAGGAGCACAGCACUAUACCCAAGAACAGAUGCCUAGAGAUGUGCUUCUGAAGAGAAGACAAUGAAGGAGGUAGAACACACAUGCUUUGCUUGCAAAUGUCACUGGUUCAAUCCCUGGCAUCUCCUAGUACUGAUGGGAAAGACUCCUGUUUGAAAGAGCUGCUGACAGUCUGUGUGGAGCAUCUUCCCCAACCUUGGGUUCUCUGAACUUGAUGGACCACCUGCCCCAUUGUCCCUGACUAAUGGCCAAGCUGGCUAGGACUACUGAGAACUGGAGUCCAGCACUGACUUGAAACCCAGGCUUGGGUGGAGGCUGGUGUAGACAAUACUGAACUAGAUGGACCAAUGAUCUGACUGAUAAGCUGAUAAGGCUUAUAUAAGCACAUAAGGCUUAUAUAAGGCUUAUAUAAAGUUAUAUUUAUUUAUUUGUAUAACUUAUAUACCACUUAAUAUAGCAAAAUACUUAAGUGGAUAAAUACAAUUACAAUAAUAAAACCACAAGCAAAAAGUAAAUGCAUAAUAUCAAAAUCCAGUAAAACAAACACCAAUAAAAUGUUUAGCAAAACAUUAAAAAUAGAAAUACUGAGCAGAGUGAUCAGAAAAUUUAAGUGUUAGGGAAAUCCUGAUGAAACAAGUAUGUUUUCAGUAGGCAUUUAAAGCCAACCACAGUGGCCGCCAACAGUAUCUGCGAAGGAGACAGUCCAUAAUCCUGAUGGUCACUUGUGAAAGUCACUCCUAAGAAUGGUGCAGGUACAAGGACUACUUGGUUAAAAUAAAUUGGGAUGGAAAUUUUUUGAAGCCAAAAAUUCUCCCAAGAAUUUUGGUGUGCAGUUCUUGUGAACUUACCAUCUGCAUGGCUGUGGCUAUCAUGUUUCCAGUGUCAGAGAAAUCACCAAGGAAACAAUCCUUUGAUGUGAAGUAUGUGCUUUGUGAAUGA